RNAcentral lists this long non-coding RNA (1976 nucleotides) under Anas platyrhynchos platyrhynchos (common mallard). RNAcentral describes it as "lncRNA (ENSAPLG00000018225.1)". Lineage: Eukaryota; Metazoa; Chordata; Aves; Anseriformes; Anatidae. The record is from RNAcentral.
AUGUGUCAACAAUUUCGUGUCUCUUCAUGUCUGAAAAGCAGCGUACCUUGCCAAAUUGGUAAUGUAUUUCUGCGAGGCGCAGCGCCUGCCAAGCACGUCUCCGCGCAGCACGCAGGAACAUCUCGCGCCCUGUGCUCAGCACACCCCACACCCGCUGCCCUCACCCAUGGGACUGCAGGACCCCGAGAGCCCCCGGAGCCACUGCUGGGACCCUCUGUGCCGUGUCCCCUGUGCCGUGUGUCCCCUGCGCCCUGUCCCCCCUGCACCACAGUCAGCGUGGUGCUGCGGGUGCCUGUCUGCAGGGCUGAGCCACGCUCCUGCUCCCAGCGCCGAGGCGGGGCGCAGCCGUCUCCCCGCUGGGCACGGGGCAUCUGCGCAGCCUCCACGUGUGGCAGCGUCUCACUUUGUGAUGAAUCGCAUUGUUUCUGCGAGAACGGCGCGUACCAGGAGCAUGCCCAGGGUCUCACAGGUCACUUGCUGGAGGUAUUUUUAGACAGACAAGGAUGAGCUUCCCUUUUUUUGUACGAAGAUGCGUUUGCCCGAAUCCUUCAAGCCAAAAUUUCCCCAGCUCUCAGCUGUGUGCAGGCGGCUGCUCAGAAGUACAGCAGGUAAGGGGAGCCAUGAACACGGAGACAAAAAAUAACGCCUGGCAAGCACGUCACACACCCAGGCAGUAUGGGGGGGUAGGGACUAGGGGCAGCUCAGCCUUCGGGCAGCGCCUGCCGUGGCUGCGGGGCACACACGGUGUGUGGGGCAGCCCGGGCACCGCUUGGCCCUUGCCGAGGCAGCAAGGGGGGGCUGAAUCUCAGGGGUCUGGAUCUCGGGGAUGGUGGGGGCUUCCUCUCCAGGCAGGGCAAGCAGGCGCUGGCAGCCCCCCGGUGCCUGUCCCCACCCGCCCCACACGGGGGGAUGUUCCUGUGUGUGUCCGCACACACAUUCAGCUCCACCACAAGCAGGCGUUGCAGUGAUCUAUGGAUCUCAGCCCGAGGCCGGUUCGGGUCCAUUUUUCUUACUGGCACACUGAAAUACUGAAAUCUGUGCCUAAGUUUUGCUAACCAAAACUAACAGGUAGCAACAGCUGGAUUUAUGUCCAGCCCGUUCCCUUCGCACACCCACACACUGCUAUAGUUCAGCAUUAAUUGGGCUGACUGGGAAUUUCCAUUUGCUCGCUAGUGUGCUUUCUUCUCUGGUUAGGGAUACAUCAUCCCUUUGAGUUAAAUCAGCUGUUAAAAGAACAAAACAUUCAGUUUAAUGGAAAUCAGUGGUAUAAAAUCCUAGAUUUUGCAGAAAGUGCGUUAAGAGGCAAAGCUGGAAGGAAUUCAGCUUCAGCUACACCAGCUAGAAACCUAUUCAGCUACAAAAGCAUAUGCUGGAGUUAUGGAGGAAAAGGUGCUAAUGUAACAUGUUUUAUGGUUGUGCUCCAAAAUAAGAACAGAUUAGUGAUACAAGCAGGAAGACGCUAAUUUGCUGGCUGCAGAUGAAGUCAUGUAACAGUAUGGCUGCUAAAAAAUAUGCCUUUUUCUUUACUCACUUAAGAGCUUGGACCUUUAACUGUUGAAGCACUGCAGGCAGGAUGUGCACACUUAGCAGUACGUGAGAUUUCCACUCCCAGCACUGCCAGGCUCUGAAGGGAGGUGCCGAGACAUGCGCUGGGGAUGAAGCAGGAGGGACAGUGGCUGCUCAUGGACCUCUGGUGGCACAGGGCAGUGGCAGUGUCCUUGGCAGGUCCGUGGUGCCGAGGAGCAGCGGAGGAGGGAGCCUCCCCGCCCUGUGCUUGCCUCCCUCUGCCCCCCAUCAGGAGUGGGACUGGCCCCCGGCUGGCAGAAGAGGGGCAAAGUAAGGAAGGCAGAGCUACCAGGUGGGGUGGGCAAUGCUCAGCAAAGAGCCAGAUAUCGAGCCGCUGCAUUAACUGGGGUGCAUAAAGGGAAAAGGGAAGCCUGGAUGAAGCAGGAGCAAUAAAGGAGACAAGAAUGCCA